CUCAGAAAAUGUUCCAUAGUAACUCUGAUAAUGUCAGAGAUCACAAUUAUGCCAUUUUAACAAUGAUGACAAUGAAAGAUAGUAAUAGAUAAUAUUUAUUUGUCCUAUGCUAUAUACCAGACACCAUAUGUUUUGAGUGUUAACUUAUUUUAUGUGCUAUCUUAUUUAAUCCUCUCAAGUAUUCUGCAAAGUAGUUGAUACGCACAGGUUGGUAAGUGGCUAAGACAUGAAUUAAAGUAGAUCUCUUUGACUCCAAAAUUCAACACUGAGUUACUUACCUUCUCCAUUUCCUGAUUAGAGAAAUUUGUGCCUUUACUGAGGUCAUAUUUUUUUUCAUUUUGCCACUGGGAAUAAUAACUGCACAAUCCUCUACAUGACCAUGAGCAGUGAAUAUAAAAAUGUGGUCAUAGGUAUGUGAUUUGUUCUCUAAACUGUUAGUCCUAGGUUAAUCUUUCACAGCCUAUAAAAAGGCAUGCAGAAGAACUCUUGAAUUAGUGACCCAGAGAUUUAAGAAAGGACAUUUUAAUUUCAGUGGAAAAUUACAGGAGUUGUAGGAUUAGUGUAUUUUCGGAAAGGGCCAAAGUGUAUUAAAAUAUGAGACUCCUGGCUCGGCACAGUGGCUCAUACCUGUAAUCCUAGCACUUUGGGAUAUCAAAGUGUAAGGAUCACUUGAGGCCAGGAGUGGCUUGUGCCUGAAGUCCCAGCUACUUGGGAGGCUAAAAUGGGAGAAUCACUUGAACCCAGGGGUUCAAGGCUGCAGUGAACUAUGAUCAUGCAAUUGCACCCCAGCCUGGGUGACAGACUGAGACCCUGUUUCAAAGAAAUAAAUAGACAAAUAAAUAGUUGCUUUAAGACUAAUUUUACAUUAAAGAAAUGCUCUAAUUGAAGCACACUCUGGACUUUUAACACAGAUCAGUGAUUUGCUGUGAUAUAUAUUUAAUUUAAUACAGUAGAGAAGAAAAUUCAGCCAAAGUUAAAAGAAUGUUGAGAAAUUCUACAUAUCUUUUCAAAUAUUUGUCAUAUUUACUAUUAGAUAUUUUAAACUUUUGUGUCAUAUUUGCCAUUUUUAAACAUUUUGUAAACCAUUAUUCUUAUAACUCUCAAUUAUGUCUGCUACCUGUUUUCUGAUUCUUUGCAAUGGCACCAUUAAACUGUUGGAUAUUAUAAUCAUAUUCUACUAUAUGCACUUGAAGUAUAAAGUAUAUGAUUAUCCUAACUGAGUUUUAAUUAAUAAGGUAG
This 1239-nucleotide long non-coding RNA is filed under the name Homo sapiens (human). RNAcentral describes it as "HSALNT0092209". The record is from RNAcentral. Lineage: Eukaryota; Metazoa; Chordata; Mammalia; Primates; Hominidae.